This 297-nucleotide ribosomal RNA is filed under the name uncultured prokaryote. RNAcentral's name for it is "partial 16S ribosomal RNA". It matches the Rfam family "Bacterial small subunit ribosomal RNA", at positions 26 to 320 of the family's 1533-position model. The record is from RNAcentral.
AGAUUGAACGCUAGCGGCAUGCCUAACACAUGCAAGUCGAACGGUAACAGGCCCUUCGGGGUGGCUGACGAGUGGCGGACGGGUGAGUAAUGCGUAGGAAUCUACCCACGAGUGGGGGAGUANCCCGGAGAAAUCCGGAUUAAUACCGCAUAUGCCCUACGGGGUAAAGCGGGGGAUCGUAAGACCUCGCGCUGGUGGAUGAGCCUACGUCCGAUUAGUUAGUUGGUGGGGGUAAAAGGCCUCCCAAAGGCUACGAUCGGUAGCUGGUCUGAGAGGACGACCGGCCACACUGGGACU